Molecule: small RNA, 351 nt
Filed under: Histoplasma capsulatum var. duboisii H88
Lineage: Eukaryota; Fungi; Ascomycota; Eurotiomycetes; Onygenales; Ajellomycetaceae
Description: Histoplasma capsulatum H88 hypothetical RNA
Source: RNAcentral
AGGCACCCGGGUCAGCAGUGUGCUGAAUAAAAGGACCAAUAUAAGUAGCUACGGAGUACUCCGUGGGAAAACAGCAAAUGUGCCUCCUACUCCCCAUUAUUCAAAAACAAACUGGCUCGGAUCUUGCCAGAGGAAAUUUUGCACCAUGCGAAGGAUGGAUGGAUCGAUGAUUCAAACUUGGAGCCCAUGAUCAACUCUGCCAAGCUAGCCAUCAAGGUACAAUAACAUUUGAGAUUAAUAUCAGAUACGAAGGAUAGAUACAGGGUUAGUGAGAGUUUGAGAAAUCAAGCAAGGAACCUUCCUCUGGAAGAAGAUAUGUGGCUAGUAUGUUAGAGUUUGUUAGGUCACUGG